CUGCAGUGAUGAGCUUCAACUUCAUGGUCCGUGUUUCUGAAACGCAUUGACUUUAGCCGAAGUUCUGAGCAU
Small nucleolar RNA from Paramormyrops kingsleyae, 72 nucleotides. Its record names the gene SNORD18. It matches the Rfam family "Small nucleolar RNA SNORD18". Rfam says of the family: U18 is a member of the C/D class of snoRNA which contain the C (UGAUGA) and D (CUGA) box motifs. It is encoded in introns of ribosomal protein L1 in Xenopus and human, and in introns of elongation factor 1 beta in yeast. Lineage: Eukaryota; Metazoa; Chordata; Actinopteri; Osteoglossiformes; Mormyridae. The record is from Ensembl.